Molecule: long non-coding RNA, 4104 nt
Filed under: Medicago truncatula (barrel medic)
Lineage: Eukaryota; Viridiplantae; Streptophyta; Magnoliopsida; Fabales; Fabaceae
Description: long non-coding RNA (MTRU_LNC004307)
Source: RNAcentral
GUCAUUGUGAUUAGUCAAUAAAGUCUUGUCUGGUCUGAAAGCCUUGGCGGCCUCUGCAGCAGCCUUUUGUAUAUCCUUUGCCUGAGUAGUUGCAGGUUUGGGGAGCCGCCAUGCUGAGUCUGCAAAGUUGAGACAGGCGUAGCGGCCCUCAAUGCCAUUGCAGCAACAUCGUGGGCACGGGUUGCCAUCUCCGCAGUUGGAAAAGUCCCUAGCCAAAUCUUAGUCUUCUUGUUAGGCUUCCUCAUUUCACAAACCCAUUUAUCUAAGUUCCUCUUCCUUACACCCCUAUAGACCGGGUGGCGAGUCUCCUUGAACUUCUUCCUCCCUGCACGCUUCUUUGGGGUAGUUGCAGCUAACCGCAUCUCCUCGUUGCAAAUUGACAUCCAAUGAGAGCCCCCUGAAUUCGGCAGCGACAUGUCGGAGGAAGAAGAAAAGACAGAGUUGUUAGAUGGAUACAUAUGGCAAAGAAUUUGAUAGUGAAAGUUGGAACUGAAGAUAAGUGUUUGUUAUUAUGAAGUAAAGAGGUUGUUGUUUUUGUGCUUGAGACUUAAGAAAGUCAAGAAUAAGUUGUGUUAUAUAUAUAUAUAUAUAUAUAUAUAUAGAAGAGUGGUUGGUUUGUUUGAGGGAAAAGGUAAGAGUGAGAGUGAGAGUGAGAGUGAGAGUGACGUUGGAUAUUUUUGAAGCGUAAAACGCCAGCUGGGUUUACUUAGUUGGGGACUUUGUGAUUGGUUAAGAAUUUUGCAAGAGACAAGAGAAAGUGUGUGGGUUUCUAGAGGGACACCACUGCAGCCUAAAAAAUAGUACUAGUAAUAAUGUUAUUAAAAUAAUUUACUCCCCUUUUGUUAUUUGAACCUCUAAUAAAAAUCACGGCAGUUCAAAAAUGCUGAAAGGAGUAAUUUUUUUUAUAUAUAGUAUGAAUAUAUUUUAAUGACAAAUAAAUUAUGAACGGAAGGAGUACAACCUUCUUGGACACAAAAUAUUGUUGCUUUUUCACCUCGACAUAGACUAAUAAGGUAAUUGAACGAUCCAUUCGAAUAUAGUUAUCAAGGAAAUGAUCAGUUGGAUUAAUCUUAUUUUUAUACGAAUGUUUAUAAUACUAUUGCAAUCUUUUCCACAAAAUCUUAGAAUAGUCGAAUUAAAUAUGAUUUUUUUAAGCACUAAAAACAUAAUAAAUCAUAUUUAACUCAUCACUUGUUAAAUAAAUUUGAACUUUUUCAAGAGAGAUUUUUAUAAUAUACUAGACAUGUUUUUUUUUUAAAAAAAAAAUUGAAAAUACACAUGAGUUUACUUAAAAUAAGAAACAAAAAACUCAUUAUGAAAAAUACUUGAAGACCCAAACAUGAUGAAAUUUUUUUGAUUGAUUAAAAAUGAAAUUUAUGAUUUUUAUAAGUACCAAAUAAUAUUUUGCCUUAUAAAUUUUAACAAAGUAGAAGAUAGUGUAUUAAAAUGUGUUACAGACUAUUACUAACACGACUUCAACUAAAAAGAAUUAAAAAAAACAAAAAAAUACACUAAAAAAAAGUAGAAAAAAAUAUACCAUUUUUUAAUUAUUGGUCACUCCUACUUCUUUCGGGGAAGUUUCUUUCAAGUCAAACACGGAAUUAAGGAGAAAAUAUCCUAUUCCUUCCACUCGUUUUCUUUCUUAGCGAGUAAGUUCUAAAACAAACAUGGAAUAAACAAGAAAAUAUCCUAUUCCUUCCACUCGUUUUCCUUCUUAGCGUGUAAUUUCUAAAGCAAACAUGGAAUAACCAAGAAAAUAUCCUAUUCCUUUCACUCGUUUUCUUUCUUAGCGAGUAAAUUCUAAAACAAACAUGGAAUAAAUUAGAGAAUAUUCUAUUCCUUCCACCGUUUUCUUUCCCAAAGCGCGUAGGUUCUGAACCCCACCAAUUUUUCAACUGUUUUUGUUCUUGUUUUUUUCUCUCACUUAUAUUUCCUCUUUUAGUUUUGGCUUAAUUGCAGUUUUAAUCUCUUAAUUUUUUUAAAGUUGUGAUUUUGGACUCCUAAGAAAAAAAAUUACAAACUGCCCCCUAAGUUUUUCAACUAUAGCAGUUUUGGCCCUCAAGGCAAUAAAAAAAAAAUUGACAUGUGGAACCUCACUUAGGGUGUCACUUCCGCGUUGACCGAGUUGGACUGGGGUCCAAAACUGCCAAAGAAUCCAAAUAUAGGGGACUGUUUUGUAUUUAAAUUAGUUAAGGGUCACCACAACUUUUGGAAAGAUAGGGGUCCAAAAGUGCAAUUAAGCCUUUAGUUUUUCAUGUUUUCUUCUUCCAAAUUCUAAUAUCUUCCAUUUUCUUCCAGGUCCUGAUUUCUUCCAUUAUUUCGAACCAUAUUUUUUUCCUGACCGUGCUACCGUGCCGGAACUCUCCUGCCGCGCCGUGGAAACUUGCUAAUGGUUCUGCACAUUUUACGCCAUUCUUAUGUUUUCAUGAAACUUUUAUCAUAAUACUCUAAUCAACUUUAUGCACAUUCGACUGCCAUUUCAUUAAAACUUGCAAAUGUAUAAUUUCUUGUCUUUUAUUAUGUUCAGUACUAUAAUUUGGUGCAGAUGUUGGACUUCAAUGUGCCUCAAGGUAGGAUUUAAUUUUUGUAUUUUUUUUUUUUUGAGUUCGUAACAAGUAAUUUAGUGUAUGUUUAGAUUGACACUGAGUUUGACAAAAUCACAGUGACAACAUGAUUUUGUUGAAGUUUCAAAGUCACCUUCAAUAUCAUUUUAUCUAUUUGUUGUUGUGAUAAGAUAAUCACCUUCAAUUAUUCUAUGAAGGUUGGAAUGAUCGCUUCAAAUGAUAAAGUUCUACUACGAAACUAUAUUGCAUGUAGGGGUGUAAGUAGUUUGGACAAAACCGAUGAAACUGAAAAUCUAAAUAGAAAAAGUAUCCGACCUUGUUUUGUUCGGUUCAAAACCGAACCAAACUAACGUAAACCGAUAUAGUUUGGUUUGGUUCUCGGAUUUUAAUUUUGAGAUUCAAAAAAUUGAUAAAUUGAACCGAUACUAGUCUCACUCUCCAUUUUAUUAAUAUCAUUUUUCAUCACACAUACACUGAUGAUGAAGCUAAAAAUUAAAGUCCAACGUAAAAUACUCCUUCAUUCAUUCACUUACACUUAUGAAUUUUUCUAAAUGUUUUUGGCCUCAAAUUUCAUAAGAGUUUCGACACAGUUAGUUAUCUGUAUUUCUCUUGGUUUCUUCAAACACUCAAGGUCUUUUAUAGGAGAUUUUAAAUCCUUUGCCAUUUACAGAUUUUUCGGUUGAAUUGUACUUAAGACAUUCUUUGCUUCUUUGUAAGUGAUAUGUUUUUCCUCUCACAAAGAUUUGUCUGUUUUUGCAACGUGUCUCCUUUUAUUAGUGACAUGUGUAUAUUGCUCAAUCUUACUCUACUUCACUAUGUACAUGAGAAAUACACAUCAGCACAUGUUUCUAUAAAAUCCUACAAAAGAGAAGAGAGACAAUGAUUUUACCUCCUUCAAUACUUUAUGCUUCAUUAGUGACUACAUUCAAAGAAAAGAAUACAAAAAGAAUUUUCUUUCCAAUUUAAACCUAUCAAGAAUCCGUACUACUACUAAAAAGGUUUGUACUACAGACAAUUUCCAUUCUACAAUCAAAAAAUAAAUAAAUGUAAACCAAACGGAUCAAACUAAAAAAUUCCAUUUUCCUACAAAAAAUUUAAAAACUCCAUAGUGAUACUUUUUCAUCUUGAAAGUCUUCAUUAAUAUAUUGAUACUCAUAAUACCCCAAGCUAUGUGUAGGAGACAUUAGCGCCAUAUUACUCCACAUCUCUUGCAUGUUCAUCACUCCUUCUUCUUUCUCUUCCAUACAAAUCAUACUCUGCUCCUCAGUGGCAGUGGCAACUACAGCCAUGUCAUUCUCUUUGUCAUUGUCAUUGUCAUUGUCAUUGUGAUUAGUCAAUAAAGUCUUGUCUGGUCUGAAAGCCUCGGCGGCCUCUGUAGCAGCCUUUUGUAUAUCCUUUGCUUGAGUAGUUGCAGGUUUGGGGAGCCGCCACGCUGAGUCUGCAAAGUUGAGACAAGCGUAGCGGCCCCUCAAUGCCAUUGCAGCAACAUCGUGGGCACGGGCUGCCAUCUCGGCAGUUGGAAAAGUCCCUAGCCAAAUCU